AUUUUGGCCUUUUUAAAGGCCAUUAAAUUGCAUUUUACAUUUUUAU
This is a non-coding RNA of Equus caballus (horse), 46 nucleotides long. The record is from Rfam. Lineage: Eukaryota; Metazoa; Chordata; Mammalia; Perissodactyla; Equidae.